RNAcentral lists this ribosomal RNA (301 nucleotides) under uncultured bacterium. RNAcentral's name for it is "partial 16S ribosomal RNA". It matches the Rfam family "Bacterial small subunit ribosomal RNA", at positions 509 to 807 of the family's 1533-position model. The record is from RNAcentral.
CAGCAGCCGCGGUAAUACGAAGGGUGCAAGCGUUAAUCGGAAUUACUGGGCGUAAAGCGUGCGUAGGCGGUUUGUUAAGUCUGCUGUGAAAUCCCCGGGCUCAACCUGGGAAUGGCAGUGGAUACUGGCAAGCUAGAGUGUGUCAGAGGAUGGUGGAAUUCCCGGUGUAGCGGUGAAAUGCGUAGAGAUCGGGAGGAACAUCAGUGGCGAAGACGGCCAUCUGGGACAACACUGACGCUGAGGCACGAAAGCGUGGGGAGCAAACAGGAUUAGAGACCCCUGUAGUCCCUGUCUCUUAUAC